Molecule: ribosomal RNA, 166 nt
Filed under: Escherichia coli
Lineage: Bacteria; Pseudomonadati; Pseudomonadota; Gammaproteobacteria; Enterobacterales; Enterobacteriaceae
Description: partial 23S ribosomal RNA
Rfam family: Bacterial large subunit ribosomal RNA
Source: RNAcentral
UAAGUGCUGAAAGCAUCUAAGCACGAAACUUGCCCCGAGAUGAGUUCUCCCUGACCCUUUAAGGGUCCUGAAGGAACGUUGAAGACGACGACGUUGAUAGGUCGGGUGUGUAAGCGCAGCGAUGCGUUGAGCUAACCGGUACUAAUGAACCGUGAGGCUUAACCUU